RNAcentral lists this ribosomal RNA (566 nucleotides) under uncultured bacterium. Its description in RNAcentral is "bacterial SSU rRNA". It matches the Rfam family "Bacterial small subunit ribosomal RNA", at positions 338 to 916 of the family's 1533-position model. The record is from RNAcentral.
CCUACGGGAGGCAGCAGUGGGGAAUAUUGCACAAUGGGCGCAAGCCUGAUGCAGCGACGCCGCGUGAGGAAUGACGGCCUUCGGGUUGUAAACCUCUUUCAGCAGGGACGAAGCGCAAGUGACGGUACCUGCAGAAGAAGCACCGGCCAACUACGUGCCAGCAGCCGCGGUAAUACGUAGGGUGCAAGCGUUGUCCGGAAUUACUGGGCGUAAAGAGCUCGUAGGCGGUUUGUCGCGUCGUCUGUGAAAACCAGCAGCUCAACUGUUGGCUUGCAGGCGAUACGGGCAGACUUGAGUAUUUCAGGGGAGACUGGAAUUCCUGGUGUAGCGGUGAAAUGCGCAGAUAUCAGGAGGAGCACCGGUGGCGAAGGCGGGUCUCUGGGAAAUAACUGACGCUGAGGAGCGAAAGCGUGGGUAGCGAACAGGAUUAGAUACCCUGGUAGUCCACGCCGUAAACGGUGGGCGCUAGGUGUGGGUUUCCUUCCACGGGAUCCGUGCCGUAGCUAACGCAUUAGCGCCCGCCUGGGGAGUACGGCCGCAAGGCUAAACGUUCAAAGGAUUGACGG